Molecule: ribosomal RNA, 301 nt
Filed under: uncultured bacterium
Lineage: Bacteria
Description: partial 16S ribosomal RNA
Rfam family: Bacterial small subunit ribosomal RNA
Source: RNAcentral
CAGUCGCCACGGUAAUACGUAGGUGGCAAGCGUUGUCCGGAAUUAUUGGGCGUAAAGGGCUCGCAGGCGGUUUCUUAAGUCUGAUGUGAAAGGUUCAACGCUUAACGUGAACAGUGCCUUGGAUACUGGGGAGCUUGAGUAUGGGAGAGGGCAGUGGAAUGGCUGGUGUAGCGGUGAAAUGCGUAGAUAUCAGUCGGAACACCCAUGGCGAAGGCAGCUGCCUGGCCUAAUACUGACGCUGAGGUGCGAAAGCGUGGGGAGCGAACGGGAUUAGAUACCCCGGUAGUCCCUGUCUCUUAUU